AACGAACGCUGGCGGCAUGCCUAACACAUGCAAGUCGAACGAGAUCCUUCGGGGUCUAGUGGCGCACGGGUGCGUAACGCGUGGUAAUCUGCCCUUAGGUUCGGAAUAACAGUUAGAAAUGACUGCUAAUACCGGAUGAUGACGUUAAGUCCAAAGAUUUAUCGCCUGAGGAUGAGCCCGCGUAGGAUUAGCUAGUUGGUGUGGUAAAGGCGCACCAAGGCGACGAUCCUUAGCUGGUCUGAGAGGAUGAUCAGCCACACUGGGACUGAGACACGGCCCAGACUCCUACGGGAGGCAGCAGUGGGGAAUAUUGGACAAUGGGCGCAAGCCUGAUCCAGCAAUGCCGCGUGAGUGAUGAAGGCCUUAGGGUUGUAAAGCUCUUUUACCCGGGAUGAUAAUGACAGUACCGGGAGAAUAAGCCCCGGCUAACUCCGUG
RNAcentral lists this ribosomal RNA (436 nucleotides) under uncultured bacterium. Its description in RNAcentral is "partial 16S ribosomal RNA". It matches the Rfam family "Bacterial small subunit ribosomal RNA", at positions 29 to 507 of the family's 1533-position model. The record is from RNAcentral.